RNAcentral lists this microRNA precursor (60 nucleotides) under Simian foamy virus. Its description in RNAcentral is "microRNA sfv-mir-S4 precursor". Its record names the gene sfv-mir-S4. Lineage: Riboviria; Pararnavirae; Artverviricota; Revtraviricetes; Ortervirales; Retroviridae. The record is from miRBase by way of RNAcentral.
CAAGAGCCCGGUAAGCAUUCAAGUAGUUCGAAUCCCUUUAAUGCUGACGGAUUGCUCUUU